GGGGCUGUUUGGUUUUGACAGCGGGUAGAGGUGGUAUGUAAGCAUGCAGUGAGACGUCAUCUAUCACUUAAAUCUAUGAUGGCGAACAGUAACUGGCGAAUCUAAUUACGCUCUUGCUGCCUAAUUGAAGUAUAGUAGAUUAUUGGCUUAAUCGCAACACGGGUGUUGCGACAAGACAUCGCUCAGAAGCUAUUUCCCUUAAGCGUCUGAUUUAGCGGUGUAGGAAAAUAGGGGAUAGUCAAAGUAUGCCUUGAUGCUUUGAUAAAGUUUUAAAGGAUAAGGAAAGAGUUGGUGGCUUCGGUCUUGCUUUUUCUCGAAAAUCAAAGGCGAAGAUAAGCAUGUAGAAAGCGUAUGAUUUCCUCGUUUGGACACGGGUUCGACUCCCGUCAGCUCCACGA
This 398-nucleotide transfer-messenger RNA is filed under the name Paludibacteraceae. RNAcentral describes it as "UBA4363 sp017646805 Standard tmRNA". It matches the Rfam family "transfer-messenger RNA". From Rfam's summary of the family: Bacterial tmRNA, also known as 10Sa RNA or SsrA, is named for its dual tRNA and mRNA-like properties. Its role is to liberate the mRNA from a stalled ribosome. Lineage: Bacteria; Pseudomonadati; Bacteroidota; Bacteroidia; Bacteroidales. The record is from RNAcentral. RNAcentral also lists the same sequence under 1 other name.